RNAcentral lists this ribosomal RNA (464 nucleotides) under uncultured bacterium. RNAcentral describes it as "bacterial SSU rRNA". It matches the Rfam family "Bacterial small subunit ribosomal RNA", at positions 329 to 792 of the family's 1533-position model. The record is from RNAcentral.
GACCAGACUCCUACGGGAGGCAGCAGUGGGGAAUAUUGCACAAUGGGGGAAACCCUGAUGCAGCGACGCCGCGUGAGUGAAGAAGUAUUUCGGUAUGUAAAGCUCUAUCAGCAGGGAAGAAAUACUGACCUUACGGUCAGCAGACGGUACCUGACUAAGAAGCCCCGGCUAACUACGUGCCAGCAGCCGCGGUAAUACGUAGGGGGCAAGCGUUAUCCGGAUUUACUGGGUGUAAAGGGAGCGUAGACGGUAUGGCAAGUCUGAUGUGAAAACCCGGGGCUCAACCCCGGGACUGCAUUGGAAACUGCCGAACUAGAGUGUCGGAGAGGAAAGCGGAAUUCCUAGUGUAGCGGUGAAAUGCGUAGAUAUUAGGAAGAACACCAGUGGCGAAGGCGGCUUUCUGGACUGAAACUGACGCUGGGGCACGAAAGCGUGGGGAGCGAACAGGAUUAGAUACCCCCGUA